CCUGGCCGGGUGGUCUGCCUCACCGCACGCACUGCUCUGGCUGGGCCUUUCCUUCUGGGGAGCCGCAUGUCCUUCACUGGAUGUGUUGGGGAACCAGGACUUUUACUUUGAAAAAAUUAGAGUGUUUAAAGCAGGCAUUGGCUCGAAUACAUUAGCAUGGAAUAAUAGAAUAGGACGCGUGGUUCUAUUUUGUUGGUUUCUAGGACCACCGUAAUGAUUAAUAGGGAUAGUCGGGGGCAUCAGUAUUCAAUCGUCAGAGGUGAAAUUCUUGGAUCGAUUGAAGACUAACUACUGCGAAAGCAUUUGCCAAGGAUGUUUUCAUUAAUCAGGGAACGAAAGUUAGGGGAUCGAAGACGAUCAGAUACCGUCGUAGUCUUAACCAUAAACUAUGCCGACUAGGGAUUGGGCGAUGUUCUUUUUUGACUCGCUCAGC
RNAcentral lists this ribosomal RNA (433 nucleotides) under uncultured eukaryote. Its description in RNAcentral is "SSU rRNA". It matches the Rfam family "Eukaryotic small subunit ribosomal RNA", at positions 645 to 1084 of the family's 1831-position model. The record is from RNAcentral.